Long non-coding RNA from Hyla sarda, 745 nucleotides. RefSeq lists it as uncharacterized. The record is from RefSeq and is a predicted model, not a curated record. NCBI's taxonomy places the organism in Eukaryota, Metazoa, Chordata, Amphibia, Anura, Hylidae. The transcript is spliced from 2 exons.
CGGGAGCGCGAGGUUUUAGCUCCCCCCUGCCGUAUGCGCUCCCGUAUGGGACAAAACGUAGUGUGAACCCAGCCUAAGGCAGAAACUGAGCCAAAUUCAAUAGUUGUAAUUCAUCUGCCCUAUAGUAUCUCAGUCCUGUAUUAUUCUUGCAGCAACAUAUGGCGGCACGUGCAUCCUGCCUCAUUAGACCCUAAAGGGGUACUCUGCUGCUAGAUAUCUUAUGAUAUUUGAUCGUGGGGGUCCUGCUGCUGGGGCCCCUCCGCGAUCUCCUGCAGUCCCCAUCAUUCUUAACAAACCCUGAGUUCCUGCGGCAGUGGUUGUGACGUCACGGCCACGCCCCUUCAUUCAUGUCUGUGGGAAGGGGGGUGUCGACACGCCUCUCCCAUAGACUUGAAUGGAGGGGUGUGGUCUUGAUAAAUCAGCUGUUUUUCGAAUUCUUGAUAACCCCUUCAACCAGAACAGAGAUCUAUUGCAAAUCUUUGUCGCUGUGAAAAAAAAGUUAAUAUUUUACUCAUGGAAAGUAUAUUGCUUGUUCACAUUGGACCUCAGAUUCUUCUGUAAAUAUUCCGAGGAGAUGCGGCUGAGUCUUAAGAACUCCUGAUUCCUAAAAGAAAUCAUGUCCAGUGUUGUAUGUAAUCCAUGGCAUUUGUUGUCGUCUAUGACUUCUUUCGGGAUCCUGUAUUUCUGCAGCGUUUCACUGAUCCGCGUCUUGUACAGCUGAAAAUAAAUUAUUUUAAUACCACGA